RNAcentral lists this ribosomal RNA (253 nucleotides) under uncultured bacterium. Its description in RNAcentral is "partial 16S ribosomal RNA". It matches the Rfam family "Bacterial small subunit ribosomal RNA", at positions 524 to 776 of the family's 1533-position model. The record is from RNAcentral.
UACAGAGGGGGCAAGCGUUGUUCGGAAUUACUGGGCGUAAAGGGCGCGUAGGCGGCCUGCUAAGUCGAACGUGAAAUCCCUGGGCUCAACCCAGGAACUGCGUCCGAUACUGGUUGGCUUGAAUCCGGGAGAGGGAUGUGGAAUUCCAGGUGUAGCGGUGAAAUGCGCAGAUAUCGGAAGGAACGCCGGUGGCGAAAGCGGCGGACUGGACCUCUUCUGACGCUGAGGCGCGAAAGCCAGGGGAGCAAACGGG